GACGAACGCUGGCGGCGUGCCUAAUACAUGCAAGUCGAGCGAACAGACAGGGAGUUUCCUCCCCUGACGUUUGCCGCGCACGGGAGUGACACACGUGGAACCCGUCCCUAUACGACGGGGAUCACUUCGGAACAACGGAUAAAAUCCCAGAAAAUAUGAUGAUCCAUAUCGUUCAAUAGUGAAAGACAAUUUUGUCGCUACUUAUAGGACGAUCCGCGCCGCAUUAGCUAGUUGGGAAGAUAACGCCUUACCAAGGCAACGAUGCGUAGCCGCCCUGAGAGGGGGAUCGGCCACACUGGACCUGGGCCACGGUCCAGCCUCCUACGGGAGGCAGCAGAAGGGAAUCUUCCGCAAUGGGCGAAGUCCUGAUGGAGCACGGCCGCGGAAUUGAUGAAGGUCUUCGGACCGUAAAACUCUGUUAUUAGGGAAGAACAAAUGUGUAAGUAACUAUGCACGUCGUGACGGUACCUAAUCAGAAAGCCACGGCUAACUACGUG
This 497-nucleotide ribosomal RNA is filed under the name uncultured bacterium. Its description in RNAcentral is "partial 16S ribosomal RNA". It matches the Rfam family "Bacterial small subunit ribosomal RNA", at positions 28 to 507 of the family's 1533-position model. The record is from RNAcentral.